CCCCUUUCAGGGUCACACCUGGAGAGUUUCCAGUCCUCUCCCAGUCUCGGCUACGGGAGGGAGAGUCAAGCAGAGGCCUACCCAUUCCAUUCCUAGCUUGGGCAGUGGGUAGCGAGUGGAAGGGGAUCUGUUACAAGU
Molecule: small nucleolar RNA, 138 nt
Filed under: Ornithorhynchus anatinus (platypus)
Lineage: Eukaryota; Metazoa; Chordata; Mammalia; Monotremata; Ornithorhynchidae
Source: RNAcentral